UGUGACCUUUCCAGCCUCUGAAUCCCACCCGGCCAUAGCUCUCCUCCCAGAUCCACUCACGAAGUUUCCAAGAGACACAGAUGCCCACAUAUUUCCCAGACAUAAAAAAAGCUGAAAGGAUUAAUCAUCAGCAGACCUGCACUACAAGAAAUGUUAAAGGAAGUCCUUCUGGCAGAAGAAAAAUGGUACCCAGUAGAAAUCUGGAUCUAUACAAAGGAACAAAUAACCCUGGAAAUGAUGGCACUGACCAGAAGACAAAGGAGGAACCCAAGAAGUGCUUGGCAAAUAACAAUGGACUUUCACUAAACGCCCUUAUGGAUUGAGCAGGUGGUCCCCAUUGGGAUUAUAAUUACAUUUCUC
This is a long non-coding RNA of Neofelis nebulosa (Clouded leopard), 360 nucleotides long. RefSeq lists it as uncharacterized. The record is from RefSeq and is a predicted model, not a curated record. NCBI's taxonomy places the organism in Eukaryota, Metazoa, Chordata, Mammalia, Carnivora, Felidae. The transcript has 3 exons.